Molecule: ribosomal RNA, 446 nt
Filed under: uncultured bacterium
Lineage: Bacteria
Description: partial 16S ribosomal RNA
Rfam family: Bacterial small subunit ribosomal RNA
Source: RNAcentral
CCUACGGGAGGCAGCAGUCGAGAAUCAUUCACAAUGGGGGAAACCCUGAUGGUGCAACGCCGCGUGGGGGAAUGAAGGUCUUCGGAUUGUAAACCCCUGUCAUGUGGGAGCAAAUUAAAAAGAUAGUACCACAAGAGGAAGAGACGGCUAACUCUGUGCCAGCAGCCGCGGUAAUACAGAGGUCUCAAGCGUUGUUCGGAAUCACUGGGCGUAAGGCGUGCGUAGGCUGUUUCGUAAGUCGUGUGUGAAAGGCGCGGGCUCAACCCGCGGACGGCACAUGAUACUGCGAGACUAGAGUAAUGGAGGGGGAACCGGAAUUCUCGGUGUAGCAGUGAAAUGCGUAGAUAUCGAGAGGAACACUCGUGGCGAAGGCGGGUUCCUGGACAUUAACUGACGCUGAGGCACGAAGGCCAGGGGAGCGAAAGGGAUUAGAUACCCCAGUAGUC